AGUGAACGCUGGCGGCAGGCCUAACACAUGCAAGUCGAACGGCCGCACAGUAAGCGCUUGCUCUUACGGGUGGCGAGUGGCGGACGGGUGAGGCAUACAUCAGAUUCUACUUUUUCGUGGGGGAUAUCGUAGGGCAGCUUCCGCUACUACCGCAUACGUCCUACGGGUGAAAUCAGGAGUUCUUCGGACCUUGCGUGUUUGUUUUAGACGGUGUCGGGUUAGCUAGUUGGCGUGGUAAAGGCACACCAAGGCAACGAUGCGUAGCCGAUCUGAGAGGGUGAUCGGCCAACAUGGAAAUGAGACACGGGCCAGACUCCUACGGGAGGAAGCAGUAGGGAAUCUUGGGCAAUGGGCGAAAGCUUGACGCAGCAAAGCCGCGUGAGUGAAGAAGGUCUUCGGGUCGUAAAACCCUUUUAUUAGGGAAGAAAAAAUGUGUGUGUAACUCCGCGCGUCUUGACGGUACCCAAUAAGAAAGCCACGGCUAACUACGUG
This 492-nucleotide ribosomal RNA is filed under the name uncultured bacterium. RNAcentral describes it as "partial 16S ribosomal RNA". It matches the Rfam family "Bacterial small subunit ribosomal RNA", at positions 29 to 507 of the family's 1533-position model. The record is from RNAcentral.